This 459-nucleotide ribosomal RNA is filed under the name uncultured bacterium. RNAcentral's name for it is "partial 16S ribosomal RNA". It matches the Rfam family "Bacterial small subunit ribosomal RNA", at positions 338 to 795 of the family's 1533-position model. The record is from RNAcentral.
CCUACGGGUGGCAGCAGUGAGGAAUAUUGGUCAAUGGCCGGAAGGCUGAACCAGCCAAGCCGCGUGAAGGACGAAGGUGCCAAGCAUUGUAAACUUCUUUUGUAUGGGGACAAAAUCAGGCACGAGAGCCUGACCGAGGGUACUUUAAGAAAAAGCAUCGGCUAACUCCGUGCCAGCAGCCGCGGUAAUACGGAGGAUCCGAGCGUUAUCCGGUUUUAUUGGGUUUAAAGGGUGCGUAGGGGGAGUGUAAAGUCAGAGGGAAAAGCCGGGGGCUCAACCCCGGAGAGCCGUUGAAACUGGCUGUCUUGAGAUGUGGAGAGGUAUGCGGAAUGCGCAGUGUAGCGGUGAAAUGCUUAGAUAUUGCGCAGAACUCCGAUUGCGAAGGCAGCAUACCGGCGGGGAUCUGACGCUGAGGCACGAAAGCGUGGGUAUCGAACAGGAUUAGAUACCCCAGUAGUC